This 21-nucleotide non-coding RNA is filed under the name Arabidopsis thaliana (thale cress). The record is from RNAcentral. Lineage: Eukaryota; Viridiplantae; Streptophyta; Magnoliopsida; Brassicales; Brassicaceae.
GGCAGAAGAUGAUGACAGCCA